CAGAAUUGUUGACAUUUUUGCAUAUUUAUUAAAAAAGAAAAACUGAAAUAUCACAUGGUUCUAAGUAUUCAGACCCUUUGCUGUGACACUUAUAUAUUUAACUCAGGUGCUGUCCAUUACUUCUGAUCAUCCUUGAGAUGGUUCUACACCUUCAUUUGAGUCCAGCUGUGUUUGAUUAUACUGAUUGGACUUGAUUAGGAAAGCCACACACCUGUCUAUAUAAGACCUUACAGCUCACAGUGCAUGUCAGAGCAAAUGAGAAUCAUGAGGUCAAAGGAACUGCCUGAAGAGCUCAGAGACAGAAUUGUAGCAAGGCCCGUCUUUGUUUAUUCAGUCAUUGUUUCAUUUGCGUCUAUCUACAAUAAUUCUGAAUGCCUCGUACAGGAAUGGGAUACUGCCGCUGUCAUUUCCCUUCAUCCUCCCCACCACCACCAGGUUGGCCCUAUCCAUGCGGGGGGUAGGCUCCGCCCUGCCUUCGUCUUUGGCAGGAUUAGCUGGUAUCUACAAACUUCAGAUCCACGCUACGGAUGGGGCCUAGGGCAAAAUAAUUCUAUUUUUUGUGUUUUUGUAAAUAAAUAUUCAGUCUUAUCUCUACCUCCUGAGUCUUUCUGGUAG
Long non-coding RNA from Cyprinus carpio carpio, 615 nucleotides. The record is from Ensembl. NCBI's taxonomy places the organism in Eukaryota, Metazoa, Chordata, Actinopteri, Cypriniformes, Cyprinidae.